GGUGGGUCCGAAGGUAGUGAGUUAUCUCACUUGAUUGUCCACAGUCAGUUAUAGGUUGAACUACUUGUUCUACUACUUUACCCCCUUCUCGCUACUGCACUUGAGUAGUCUUAA
RNAcentral lists this Y RNA (114 nucleotides) under Propithecus coquereli (Coquerel's sifaka). Its description in RNAcentral is "Y RNA (ENSPCOG00000012004.1)". It matches the Rfam family "Y RNA". Rfam says of the family: Y RNAs are components of the Ro ribonucleoprotein particle (Ro RNP), in association with Ro60 and La proteins. The Y RNAs and Ro60 and La proteins are well conserved, but the function of the Ro RNP is not known. Lineage: Eukaryota; Metazoa; Chordata; Mammalia; Primates; Indriidae. The record is from Rfam by way of RNAcentral.